This 45-nucleotide non-coding RNA is filed under the name Schistosoma margrebowiei. Lineage: Eukaryota; Metazoa; Platyhelminthes; Trematoda; Strigeidida; Schistosomatidae. The record is from RNAcentral.
AUCCAGCUGACGAGUUCCAAAUAGAAUGAACUGCGCAUCCUGGAU